This 468-nucleotide ribosomal RNA is filed under the name uncultured bacterium. RNAcentral's name for it is "partial 16S ribosomal RNA". It matches the Rfam family "Bacterial small subunit ribosomal RNA", at positions 28 to 507 of the family's 1533-position model. The record is from RNAcentral.
GACGAACGCUGGCGGCGUGCUUAACACAUGCAAGUCGAACGGAAAGGCCCGGCUUUUGUGGGGUGCUCGAGGGGCGAACGGGGGAGUAACACGUGAGUAAGCUGUACUUGACUUUGGGAGAUCUUCAGGAAAGUGGGGCUAAUACCGGAUAGGAGCUAUUGCUGCUGGGUGGGGGUGGGAAAGUUUCGGCGGUUGGGGGUGGACUCGCGGCCUAUGGGGUUGGUGGUGGGGUGGUGGCUUACCAAGGCUUUGAAGGGUGGCCGGCCUGCUAGGGUGACCGGCCCCAUUGGGACUGGGCUACGGCCCAGACUACUCCGGUAGGCAACAGUGGAGAAUAGUACACUAUGGGCGGAACCCUGAUCCAGCCACGCCGCGUGCGGGAUGACGUCCUGCGGUUUGUGAACCGCUUCCGCCUGUGACGAAGCGUGAGUGACGGUAAUGGGUAAAUAAGCACCGGCUAACUACGUG